RNAcentral lists this long non-coding RNA (305 nucleotides) under Nicotiana benthamiana. RNAcentral describes it as "long non-coding RNA (NBEN_LNC020316)". Lineage: Eukaryota; Viridiplantae; Streptophyta; Magnoliopsida; Solanales; Solanaceae. The record is from RNAcentral.
CGUCUUUGUUGCUUACUGAUAGUAGUGUGGAUACUAAACGAUCAGUUGAAGAAAACAAGGUAUUUGAGGAGGGAAAUAAGGUAUGUUUGACAAGCAAAGUAGAAGAAAACAAGAUGUUCGAAGGGGACAAUGUGGAAACCUCAGCCAAAGAGGACAAUGUGGAAACCUCAGCCAAAGAGGACGGUGCAGCAGAAAAGUUAUUGGCUGAGGAACAAAAUAUGGUAUGUAACCCUGAAAAGAGUAAUUUAUUGCAAAAGAAGGAGUGUGAAGGAAGAAUGGAUUGUACUGUCCAGCCAACUGGUGCA